ACGCUGCCAUCUUGUUAAUUUACGUCUGUCACGUCAUUUUCAUGGGAGGUUACUCGAGUGCAAAUCUAGACACUAAAAAAGGUUAUUCGCCGGUGAAUAAUAGGGUUAUUCACCGCUGGUGUAAAUUUUAAGGGUUAUUCGUCCUCCUUGCAAUUAAAUGAAAAUUAACCGAAUUAUUCCAUGUCACGUGAUAAGUUGUUAUCCAAUAGAAUUGUUUGUAAUAUAUGUAAGGUAUAAUAAU
Molecule: long non-coding RNA, 241 nt
Filed under: Mytilus galloprovincialis (Mediterranean mussel)
Lineage: Eukaryota; Metazoa; Mollusca; Bivalvia; Mytilida; Mytilidae
Source: RNAcentral